GGCUUCAACAUCCCCGCAGGCUGGGCGUGAUUGAAGGUUCUGUAGAGACGUAACUUGUUACGUCUUUCUGGCCCGACGAGAGCGCAGUGAGUCUGCUGGAGCC
RNAcentral lists this small RNA (103 nucleotides) under unclassified sequences. RNAcentral describes it as "NAD+-I sequence". It matches the Rfam family "nadA riboswitch". The record is from Rfam by way of RNAcentral.